This 199-nucleotide long non-coding RNA is filed under the name Hordeum vulgare. RNAcentral describes it as "long non-coding RNA (HVUL_LNC004423)". Lineage: Eukaryota; Viridiplantae; Streptophyta; Magnoliopsida; Poales; Poaceae. The record is from RNAcentral.
AGCCACUAAAGAUGUCGUCCACGCAUUUACACGAGCCACUUUGCUAGUGUAGUGGGACCAUAACUUCUCUCGCUAACUAAAUGGGUCAACUUAUCACACAUCUUCUCCCACUUGAAGAGCACAUACCUAUAGAGCAUGAAUAUUCACAACAUAAAGCAUAUGUUAAUCUCUUCCUCCACCAUGCCCAUGGAGAGGCAAC